Penaeus indicus is the source of this 934-nucleotide long non-coding RNA. RefSeq lists it as uncharacterized. The transcript is spliced from 2 exons. NCBI's taxonomy places the organism in Eukaryota, Metazoa, Arthropoda, Malacostraca, Decapoda, Penaeidae. The record is from RefSeq and is a predicted model, not a curated record.
AUUCAGUAAAACAUCACACCAAAAGACCCCUCCCCCCCAAAAAAAAAAAAUAAUAAUAAUAAUAAUAAAAAUAAACAAACAAAUAAAAAGAAAAUAAAGAAAAAAAAAUACAAAAAAUAAAACAACUGAAAAAAGACACCCCAGGAAAACCACCCAAUCUUACCUCCUUUACCCUCCUGACCCCCGUUUACUCCCUCGACCUCCUGACCUCAUGACCUCCUCUUCUUCAGAAUAACCGAAGCCUGGUCAUGGGCUGGGUGUGGAUCAACGCCAUCCUGAUGGUCAUCAGCAUCGGCCUGGCCAUCGCUUUGAUAGCCCUGGGAGGCAUUGCCAACGGGGUCAUUAAUCUCGUUGCCUGUCUUAUCAGUAUCUACUUCAUCGUCGUUGUGUAUUCCUUCGCCAUGGUAGACCUCCAAGGCCCCGUGAACAUGGCUUAAGACGACGGGGAGGAAGGUGAGAGGAAGGCAGCAGCAAGUGGGCGACGUAAGUGAUUCUGUCUGUGGAGGAAAUUGGUUGUACGAAGAUAUAGUUGUUUGUCACUGUUUAGCACUGGCGCGUUGGAAAUUCAACUAUUCUUCUUUAUAUUUAGAAUUAGAAUUAGUGGAAACAAUUGAUUGAUAGGAAUGAAGCGUGUUACGGAAAGGCAAGGAAAGAAGGAGACCGGGAAAGCUAUUUAGAUUUAAAGGUUUGGAAAUAAGAUAUACGGUUUGUCGAAAUUUAGGGUUAUGGCGUACACAAACGCGGCCCGAAUAAGAUCAAACUGUAGAGAAAAGGAACACGACAUACUGCUCAUGAAUACUUGGGUAUUUUGAGUUAUAAGCUUUAUCACUGAAAUCGCAUUUAUGCAGUACAGCAUCUUUGGCAUGAUAUCAAACAGCAAGAUAAAAUUUGUAUACCUGUUCUAAUAAAUAUGACAUUCCGAUGUAAAUAGCAA